UCCGUAGGUGACCUGCGGAAGGAUCAUUA
RNAcentral lists this non-coding RNA (29 nucleotides) under Aspergillus tubingensis. Lineage: Eukaryota; Fungi; Ascomycota; Eurotiomycetes; Eurotiales; Aspergillaceae. The record is from RNAcentral. RNAcentral also lists the same sequence under 5 other names.